RNAcentral lists this long non-coding RNA (382 nucleotides) under Ananas comosus (pineapple). Its description in RNAcentral is "long non-coding RNA (ACOM_LNC023143)". The record is from RNAcentral. Lineage: Eukaryota; Viridiplantae; Streptophyta; Magnoliopsida; Poales; Bromeliaceae.
AUACCAACAAUGAGCAACCAAGGAACCCACCUCCAGCCAGGUCCGGAGAUGCAGAUCUGAACGCCACUUUACUCUCACUUUUGAAUACCACACCCUCGACAGAUGUUCGACCUCAGACCACUGUUCCACAUACUAUCCAAAAUUCGCUACAAGCGACCGCAGCGCCUCAGACGAAUGCCUUCGACAAUUGUUUCUACUGCUAUUCCGUUUCCGCCGUCAACUACACUUUCCGGUUUUGUCCCGCCUCCCCCACAAACCACUAUUCCCACCCACUCAACCACUUUACCGCAGAGCACCACGAUGGAUCCCCUGGUCGCCACCCUGAUAUAAGCUGUUAUCGGGCUAGUGCAGACUUAGCAACAGAAUUUGUAGUAGAAUCCAG